This 1356-nucleotide ribosomal RNA is filed under the name uncultured bacterium. Its description in RNAcentral is "16S ribosomal RNA". It matches the Rfam family "Bacterial small subunit ribosomal RNA", at positions 28 to 1386 of the family's 1533-position model. The record is from RNAcentral.
GAUGAACUCUGGCGGCGUGCUUAACACAUGCAAGUCGAACGAAGCAAUCUAACGGAAGUUUUCGGAUGGAAGCUAGAUUGACUGAGUGGCGGACGGGUGAGUAACGCGUGGGUAACCUGCCUCACACUGGGGGACAACAGUUAGAAAUGACUGCUAAUACCGCAUAAGCGCACAGGACCGCAUGGUCCGGUGUGAAAAACUCCGGUGGUGUGAGAUGGACCCGCGUUUGAUUAGCUAGUUGGUGGGGUAACGGCCUACCAAGGCGACGAUCAAUAGCCGACCUGAGAGGGUGACCGGCCACAUUGGGACUGAGACACGGCCCAAACUCCUACGGGAGGCAGCAGUGGGGAAUAUUGCACAAUGGGGGAAACCCUGAUGCAGCGACGCCGCGUGAGUGAAGAAGUAUUUCGGUAUGUAAAGCUCUAUCAGCAGGGAAGAAAAUGACGGUACCUGACUAAGAAGCCCCGGCUAACUACGUGCCAGCAGCCGCGGUAAUACGUAGGGGGCAAGCGUUAUCCGGAUUUACUGGGUGUAAAGGGAGCGUAGACGGUAAAGCAAGUCUGAAGUGAAAGCCCGGGGCUCAACCCCGGGACUGCUUUGGAAACUGUUUAACUAGAGUGCUGGAGAGGUAAGCGGAAUUCCUAGUGUAGCGGUGAAAUGCGUAGAUAUUAGGAGGAACACCAGUGGCGAAGGCGGCUUACUGGACAGUAACUGACGUUGAGGCUCGAAAGCGUGGGGAGCAAAAAGGAUUAGAUACCCUGGUAGUCCACGCCGUAAACGAAGAAUACUAGGUGUGGGGGGCAAAGUCCUUCGGUGCCGUCGCAAACGCAAUAAGUAUUCCACCUGGGGAGUACGUUCGCAAGAAUGAAACUCAAAGGAAUUGACGGGGACCCGCACAAGCGGUGGAGCAUGUGGUUUAAUUCGAAGCAACGCGAAGAACCUUACCAAAUCUUGACAUCCCUCUGACCGGCGAGUAAUGUCGCCUUUCCUUCGGGACAGAGGAGACAGGUGGUGCAUGGUUGUCGUCAGCUCGUGUCGUGAGAUGUUGGGUUAAGUCCCGCAACGAGCGCAACCCUUAUCCUAAGUAGCCAGCAGUUCGGCUGGGCACUCUUGGGAGACUGCCAGGGAUAACCUGGAGGAAGGUGGGGAUGACGUCAAAUCAUCAUGCCCCUUAUGAUUUGGGCUACACACGUGCUACAAUGGCGUAAACAAAGAGAGGCGAGACCGCGAGGUGGAGCAAAUCUCAAAAAUAACGUCUCAGUUCGGACUGCAGGCUGCAACUCGCCUGCACGAAGCUGGAAUCGCUAGUAAUCGCGAAUCAGAAUGUCGCGGUGAAUACGUUCCCGGGUCUUGCAC